RNAcentral lists this ribosomal RNA (254 nucleotides) under uncultured bacterium. Its description in RNAcentral is "partial 16S ribosomal RNA". It matches the Rfam family "Bacterial small subunit ribosomal RNA", at positions 524 to 776 of the family's 1533-position model. The record is from RNAcentral.
CACGUAGGGUUCGAGCGUUGUCCGGAAUUAUUGGGCGUAAAGAGCUCGUAGGCGGUGUGUCGCGUCGGCCGUGAAAACCUGCAGCUUAACUGUGGGCUUGCGGUCGAUACGGGCAUCACUGGAGUUCGGCAGGGGAGACUGGAAUUCCUGGUGUAGCGGUGAAAUGCGCAGAUAUCAGGAGGAACACCGGUGGCGAAGGCGGGUCUCUGGGCCGAUACUGACGCUGAGGAGCGAAAGCGUGGGGAGCGAACGGG